UACAGAGGUCUCAAGCGUUGUUCGGAUUCAUUGGGCGUAAAGGGUGCGUAGGUGGCGGGGUAAGUCAGGUGUGAAAUCUCGGAGCUCAACUCCGAAACUGCACUUGAUACUGCCUUGCUGGAGUACUGGAGAGGAGAUUGGAAUUUACGGUGUAGCAGUGAAAUGCGUAGAUAUCGUAAGGAAGACCAGUGGCGAAGGCGAAUCUCUGGACAGUUACUGACACUGAGGCACGAAGGCCAGGGGAGCAAACGGG
Molecule: ribosomal RNA, 253 nt
Filed under: uncultured bacterium
Lineage: Bacteria
Description: partial 16S ribosomal RNA
Rfam family: Bacterial small subunit ribosomal RNA
Source: RNAcentral